RNAcentral lists this ribosomal RNA (395 nucleotides) under uncultured bacterium. Its description in RNAcentral is "partial 16S ribosomal RNA". It matches the Rfam family "Bacterial small subunit ribosomal RNA", at positions 523 to 918 of the family's 1533-position model. The record is from RNAcentral.
AUACGUAGGGUGCAAGCGUUAAUCGGAAUUACUGGGCGUAAAGCGUGCGCAGGCGGUUUUGUAAGACAGUGGUGAAAUCCCCGGGCUCAACCUGGGAACUGCCAUUGUGACUGCAAGGCUAGAGUACGGCAGAGGGGGAUGGAAUUCCGCGUGUAGCAGUGAAAUGCGUAGAUAUGCGGAGGAACACCGAUGGCGAAGGCAAUCCCCUGGGCCUGUACUGACGCUCAUGCACGAAAGCGUGGGGAGCAAACAGGAUUAGAUACCCUGGUAGUCCACGCCCUAAACGAUGUCAACUGGUUGUUGGGUCUUCAUUGACUCAGUAACGAAGCUAACGCGUGAAGUUGACCGCCUGGGGAGUACGGCCGCAAGGUUGAAACUCAAAUGAAUUGGCGGGG